Molecule: transfer RNA, 67 nt
Filed under: Daphnia pulex (common water flea)
Lineage: Eukaryota; Metazoa; Arthropoda; Branchiopoda; Diplostraca; Daphniidae
Rfam family: tRNA
About the family: Transfer RNA (tRNA) molecules are approximately 80 nucleotides in length.
Source: Rfam by way of RNAcentral
GGUUAUACAAUGUUUAGCACUUCAGACUCUGACUCUGACAAUCUGAGUUCAAAUCUCAGUAGGACCU